UUUCUUUCUGUUUGUCACAAUGCAGACAUGACAUUAUAAAAUGACAUUCACAUUAUCAAAUAGGUACAUGAAACUAAUCUAAAACAAGAAUUUUAAUUUUAUAAAUGUUUACUUGUGAACUAAACACUACUUCGGUAAUUUAUUAUGUUGUAUUUUGUCACUUUGGCCUGGAUGAAACAGAACUCAUCCGAUGCAAGCCGAAGUCAAGGUGACCCGUUUCGCGUGAACCGUAUGUUUCCCCGUCACCCUGCUCCCAUUAUAAUAAUAUGUAUAUACCGAGCCGGCGAGCAUUGCCGUCACUAACACGGGGCCACUUGGUCGGCGGGGUAUCCGAUGCCAGCCUAGACGGCGCUACCAAUACAUCGAGAUUCCCCGCUGGAUUUACAAAGAGACUUCGGUUCUCUCUGCGUUUUAUGUCAUUCCCAAGUUUCACAGAAAGUGCUCUAAAAAUUGUUCAAGACAGCCCUUUUAUCUCUUUUUUACCACUGCUGUUUUUGAGUGGACGAACGGUGAACGAAUAUUGGAAUGAAAUGGCUGAGUACAUAUGGAAUGUGGCAAAAAGUCAUCGUGUGUGUGAUGUCAUCGGGAAAGAAAAUUAAAAAUUAAAGAUAAAUAGACCUGGUGGUAGUAGAGCAACAACGUUCAAAAAGCGCGUAAAGAAAAGAAAAAACCUUUAAAAAAUGUCAGAACGCAGAUUCCCCAGAUUUGGUUACGAAAGAGAAGUUGAAGACAGCAUAUAAAAAAAACAAGAAGGUUUUCUCAUGUUCCCGUCGAAAAUUUGUGUACCGGGCUAUUAAUAGGUGCAAUGAGACCUCCUCUAUUUGUGACAGAAAAAGAUCUGGUCGUCCACGAAGUGUUCGUACGAAAACGGUGGUCAAAGCAGUAAGGGAAAGAAUUCGAAGAAAUCCUGUCCGAAAGCAAAAUCUCGGGAGAUGAAGAUAGCACCUAGAACCAUGUCGCGUAUUUUAAAAGAUGACUUAGGACUUGCAGCCUAUAAGAGACGUACUGGUCAUUUCUUAACUGAUAAUUUAAAAGAGAAUAGGGUUGUAAAAUCGAAACAACUACUAAAGCGGUACGCAAAAGAAGGUCAUAGAAAAAUUUUAUUUACGGAUGAGAAAUUUUUUACAAUUGAGCAACAUUUUAACAAACAAAAUGACCGUAUUUAUGCUCAAAGCUCUAAGAAAGCUUCCCAAUUAGUCGACAGAGUGCAACGUGGGCACUAUCCGACUUCAGUGAUGGUUUGGUGGGGUAUUAGCUAUGAAGGAGUGACUGAGCCAUAAUUUUGUGAAAAAGGUAUCAAAACAUCGGCACAAGUGUAUCAAGAUACCAUUCUUGAGAAGGUAGUGAAGCCCCUUAAGAACACCAUGUUCAAUAAUCAAGAAUGGUCCUUCCAGCAAGACUCGGCGCCAGAUCAUAAAGCUCGGUCUUCGCAGUUUCGCAGUCUUGGUUGAUACGCCAUGAUAAUUUGGAGUCCCUAAAACAAUCCGUACUAUUGACAGUGAAAAUUUUUCCCAUGGAAAGAGUGCGUGCUUCUAUUGAUAACUGGCCUCAACCUUUAAAGGACUGUAUUGCAGCCAAUGGAGACCACUUCGAAUAAGCUUUUUAUACUUUAAAUUGUUUUAUAUUUAUGUAUUAAACUAACACACUGUAAAAGUAAUAAAUGUUAUUUGCCAUAGAA
Bombyx mori (domestic silkworm) is the source of this 1678-nucleotide long non-coding RNA. RefSeq lists it as uncharacterized. NCBI's taxonomy places the organism in Eukaryota, Metazoa, Arthropoda, Insecta, Lepidoptera, Bombycidae. The transcript is spliced from 2 exons. The record is from RefSeq and is a predicted model, not a curated record.